AACGAACGCUGGCGGCAUGCCUAACACAUGCAAGUCGAACGGGAUCCUGGCUUCGGUCAGGUGAGAGUGGCGGACGGGUGAGUAACGCGUGGGAACCUGCCCAGUGGUGGGGGAUAACUGCGGGAAACUGCAGCUAAUACCGCAUGAGCCCGAGAGGGAAAGAUUUAUCGCCAUUGGAGGGGCCCGCGUUCGAUUAGGUAGUUGGUGAGGUAACGGCUCACCAAGCCGACGAUCGAUAGCUGGUCUGAGAGGAUGAUCAGCCACACUGGGACUGAGAUACGGCCCAGACUCCUACGGGAGGCAGCAGUGGGGAAUAUUGGACAAUGGGGGCAACCCUGAUCCAGCAAUGCCGCGUGAGUGAUGAAGGCCUUAGGUUGUAAAGCUCUUUUGCCAGGGAAGAUGAUGACUGUACCUGGAGAAUAAG
RNAcentral lists this ribosomal RNA (424 nucleotides) under uncultured bacterium. Its description in RNAcentral is "bacterial SSU rRNA". It matches the Rfam family "Bacterial small subunit ribosomal RNA", at positions 29 to 490 of the family's 1533-position model. The record is from RNAcentral.